GGGCGUAUAGCUCAGUCGGUAGAGCACCGAGCUUAUAUCUCGGCGGUCCCAGGUUCAAGUCCUGGUGCGCCCACAA
This 76-nucleotide transfer RNA is filed under the name bacterium. RNAcentral describes it as "tRNA-Ile". It matches the Rfam family "tRNA". From Rfam's summary of the family: Transfer RNA (tRNA) molecules are approximately 80 nucleotides in length. Their secondary structure includes four short double-helical elements and three loops (D, anti-codon, and T loops). The record is from RNAcentral.